UUCAUUUCCAACUUUUUGAUAUUUCCAAAGGCCCUUACACCGAAAUUUGACUCGUCCCAGUUGAGGCAAAUCACGCAUUCUAAUCUAACUUCCAUGAUAUCUAAGAUUCAAAGCAAAAAGGCACUCCAUCUUAGCCUGGUCAUGUUGUCAUGACAAUACCAUGCUUAACCAAUCACAAAGCUCCAUUCACAUGUUUCUACUCCAAAAGAUUUAUCCCGACCCCUCUCUAGACGAGAGAAAAAGGUUAUAUCGCAGUUUACAAGAUGGCUGCCAAGAUACGACAGACCGUCUCCAACUUCUCUCAAGAAUGUUCGUUUACGGUUCAUCUGGUCAUUUUGAGUUUAGACAUGGAAGUGCAAGGAGUCCAAAGCAAAGCUGUGCUAGUACUUACAAAACAAGGGUUUGCUUUCUGGUUGAAAAGUUCCUACAAAGAAUUUGGACCUUUGAUUCAAAUGGAGAAUUAGGGAGCGGACAACUAUUUUCUCAGUCAGCCAAGUACUCAAGGACUUGCCAAGAAAAAAAAGGUGCUAGAUGAACUUAUGACGACAUUACUUUGGAUUCCUUAGAGGCAAGAGAAGGGGUGCCAAAAAUGCCCGCUACAAAUACGACAAUGAACGGAACCCUGCUGCUUUCAAACCUUUUUUGUGCGAACCAAUUAUCUGACUUUUGCUUGUUAGAAGCGCAAUAAUAUACUUUUUUUCUUGACCUUAAGAAUGGCUUCCUGCGCAACACAACGGAUAACGGGUUCCAUAUUGUUCUCUCUGUUCUGUGUACUAUAUUGGCUUCCUAGCCAUCCAUCACGUGUGAUCCUCUUGCCUUUUCAUGCUAUAAAUUUAUCAAACCAUAAAAUGGUGGCUCAAUAGUUAUUCAGUUUUGAAAAAAGCUUUUAUUCUUUGUUGCUAAAAUAAUCUUAUAAAGGCAUUGAAUUUGGUCUUUAAAUUGACACGAGGUCGAAGAAUAGUUUCAAAUAACCUCAGGCUAUUUGCUGUUCUACGCCCUCGACUUGACUAUUUGCGCUUAACCACUCUGUAACUUUAACGUACCUUUUACAUCUUAAAACCAUUCAUAGUCAAGAAGAAAACAAUCGUGUAUUGAUGAAUUCGAUGAAAACGGGUUAGCCGUUGUUGACAGAGAAUGCGUGGCACAUCACAAAUAGAGUAAAGUGCCACAGUAGUGUCACAGUCUAAAAUGCGCACUUAGUGUAGCAUUUUAAAAUCACUCAUUUGCUCUUUUCUUGGCGUGAAGCAUGAUUCUGUUACGCGCGCGCGUUUAGAAAAACACUCAAGGAAACGUCAACUGCUAAGAAACCGGCUUCAAUCCCCUAGCUGAGAUCAACAGACGUAAAAUGAAUUAUAGGCUUUAAAACUUACCAUUCAUUGCCAGGUAGUGAACAAUUUAUACUAAUAAGAGGUUGAUUUACAUUUAUAAAUAAUCGCGCUUUAAAAAAUGUUCAUUCAUCUAUUAAUCCAUCGCCCUUUAAGAAAAAAGAAAUAACAUGUUCAUAUUUACUUCACUGUUUGAGUGAAAAAGAAAGCAAUUUAUUCUGAAUAUCGAAGUCUUGUCUUAAUAAAUCAUCUCGUUUGGCUUCAA
Long non-coding RNA from Nematostella vectensis (starlet sea anemone), 1590 nucleotides. RefSeq lists it as uncharacterized. The record is from RefSeq and is a predicted model, not a curated record. The transcript has 2 exons. Lineage: Eukaryota; Metazoa; Cnidaria; Anthozoa; Actiniaria; Edwardsiidae.